Molecule: ribosomal RNA, 253 nt
Filed under: uncultured bacterium
Lineage: Bacteria
Description: partial 16S ribosomal RNA
Rfam family: Bacterial small subunit ribosomal RNA
Source: RNAcentral
UACAGGGGGGGCAAGCGUUGUUCGGAAUUACUGGGCGUAAAGGGCUCGUAGGUGGCCAACUAAGUCAGACGUGAAAUCCCUCAGCUUAACUGGGGAACUGCGUCUGAUACUGGAUGGCUUGAGUUUGGGAGAGGGAUGCGGAAUUCCAGGUGUAGCGGUGAAAUGCGUAGAUAUCAGGAGGAACACCGGUGGCGAAGGCGGAUCUCUGGGCCUUACCUGACGCUGAGGCGCGAAAGCUAGGGGAGCGAACAGG